Molecule: non-coding RNA, 45 nt
Filed under: Schistosoma mattheei
Lineage: Eukaryota; Metazoa; Platyhelminthes; Trematoda; Strigeidida; Schistosomatidae
Source: RNAcentral
ACCCAGCCGACGAGUCUCAAAUAGGACGAAAUACACGUCUUGUAU